AGCAGCCGCGGUAAUUCCAGCUCCAAUAGCGUAUAUUAAAGUUGUUGCAGUUAAAAAGCUCGUAGUUGAAUUUCGGGAUUGACGUGACGGUCGUGCCUUAAGGGGCGUGAACUGUCGCCGUUGAUUUCUCACCUUCUGGAGAAGCUCGAUGUCCUUAAUUGGAUGUCUUGUGGAACCAGGACCUUUACCUUGAAAAAAUUAGAGUGUUUAAAGCAGGCAUUUUGCUCGAAUACAUUAGCAUGGAAUAAUAGAAUAGGACGGCAUGGUUCUAUUUUGUUGGUUUCUAGGAUCACCGUAAUGAUUAAUAGGGAUAGUUGGGGGCACUAGUAUUCAAUUGUCAGAGGUGAAAUUCUUGGAUUUAUUGAAGACUAACUACUGCGAAAGCAUUUGCCAAGGAUGUUUUCAUUAAUCAAGAACGAAAGUUAGGGGAUCGAAGACGAUCAGAUACCGUCGUAGUCUUAACCAUAAACUAU
This 473-nucleotide ribosomal RNA is filed under the name uncultured Entrophospora. Its description in RNAcentral is "SSU rRNA". It matches the Rfam family "Eukaryotic small subunit ribosomal RNA", at positions 569 to 1040 of the family's 1831-position model. Lineage: Eukaryota; Fungi; Glomeromycota; Glomeromycetes; Entrophosporales; Entrophosporaceae. The record is from RNAcentral.